UACGUAGGGUGCAAGCGUUAAUCGGAAUUACUGGGCGUAAAGGGCUCGUAGGCGGCCAACUAAGUCGGACGUGAAAUCCCUCAGCUUAACUGGGGAACUGCGUCCGAUACUGGAUGGCUUGGAUUUGGGAGAGGGAUGCGGAAUUCCAGGUGUAGCGGUGAAAUGCGUAGAUAUCUGGAGGAACACCGGUGGCGAAGGCGGCAUCCUGGACCAACAUUGACGCUGAGGAGCGAAAGCUAGGGGAGCAAACGGG
This 253-nucleotide ribosomal RNA is filed under the name uncultured bacterium. RNAcentral describes it as "partial 16S ribosomal RNA". It matches the Rfam family "Bacterial small subunit ribosomal RNA", at positions 524 to 776 of the family's 1533-position model. The record is from RNAcentral.